GAAAAGCCUAGGGACCGAUCGUAUAGAACUUACAAAAGAAUAAUACAAGCUGUUGGGCGAGGAGCUCCGGAUAACGGCGAUCUUGUGCGGGAUGAUGCCAGACGUUGAUGAAGCCCGGGGCAGUGGGGAAGAAGUGUCCAUAGAACCGGUGGUGGACGUCGGCGUACGGAGUGGGCUGGUAGACGUUCCGACGAACACUUACAGGCAAGUGGCAAGCUCCGUCUUCUCUCCUCUCUCGACCUUAAUCCGGGGGUUUUAUACGAUUUUCCCUCGAAUCUUCCCCUCUUGAUUGGUCUUGGGUCCCUUUCUCCUGUUUCGAUUGGUCAUUCUUCUGUUUCUAAGCAAGACAGAAACCAAGUCCGGCCGGGGAUGGCGCCCGAACGUUGACAACUACGCUCAUAAUUUAUGCCGUUUGGCCCCCCUUUUCUUGGACAUCGGGCUUGACCGAUCGGCCAGAUGUUCUGUGUCCGCCUACUCCCCUUCCGCGACGGUCCCGGGCUCACAUGAUCUAACAGGUGUUCUUGGCCAUAAGUCUCUCCUCUCUUGAUUGUAUACAUUCUGACUCUUAUAUACGAGCACCCUGACAAAGCCCCUCUCACUCGGUUUGCAUUCCCCUUUGUCGUUCAUCAUCGUAUCGCGUUUAUUUUAGAACCAGUGUUUUAGUUCGGUCGAGUCUACGAGUAUACUGUCCCGACACGUGUUCUCGACCCGAUUGAACUUCCGAAAUUCCCUGACAUAGCAAUUUUGCAAACAACCGAAAUUCCGACGCGAUUUUAGGAUCCCUACACUAUUCAUCAAAUGUCACGGCACGCCACUCCUUUCUCAUAAAAAGUAUUCCGUCAUUCUUGACAGUGGAGUUUCUAGUUAUGUAUAUAAGAUGAAAAUGUCGAGUUUAAUGAAGCAAUAUCCGAAAAUCCUUGAACUUGUUUUCUAAAUUUGCAUUGUAAUUAGUCAACAAUGCGUUCAAUCGGUUGUUUGUUUCCGAAAGAAUCACUACGUGGAAAUAGUGAAUUACUUUCUCUUGACAUUUGUCACUGGGCUAUAAAACCUAUUUAUUCAUUAAAGCUUAUUCUCACGGUCUACGAUUGGCUAAAAAUUGUCUUGCCCCGUAAUGACUCAUCACGUGCCACCCUUUCUGUUCCGUUCUUCUGGUUUCUAAGUAUUUACAGACGUCGGGUUACUUGAGUUUACGCUUUGAGUUCAGUUAGGUUUACGUUUAGUUGAUGAAAUUCACAAUUGCUAUAAACAAAAAAUCUUAGGACAAGUUUCCACUUUUUCCCACUGCUAUUGGUAAUUAUUGGAGGACGGAGGAAUACAAAACGUGUCACGUGACCUAAUUUUGAUGCAAUUCAGUCACGUGGAUAACUAGAAACGUCACUCAGCACGUGUCAUUUCUGAGGUACAGUAUUUCCUGACAACUUCUUUCUCGCGGAAAACAUUUAAAAUUAAUUUUCGUAUAUUAAAUACAUUAAUUAUUAAUAGUUCAAGUAUUAUGAAAUUUGCGCACUAAUUACAAAAUUUAUAUAAUAAUUAUAACAGUUAGACGCGGAUUUCAAAGCAUUCCUUUGCAUAAAUGAUAAGGCAUUAUAAAUAAUUCUCGUCGCAUAGAACAAAUAAUUUUGUGAUAAAUCGAUGUUGUAGAAGAGCAAACUUUGAAUGCAAGAUGUCUUUUAUUUUGAAAUUGUACCAAUCGUUUUUUUAAAUAAGAAGUUUUAAUUUUCAAAUGAAUUUCCAUUUUUCAUUUAGCCUAUUUACAUUCAUUACUUGUAGAAGUAGAUGUUUUACAAUGUAUCGGUUUUCUAACUUAUUUAAAUUAUGUCGACAUUCGAACUCUCAUUGUUUAAACCGACCUUGGUCGACUUUUCUAUUCGUAACAAGUUUCAUUUUUCUUUUUCGUUAUUUCCAUCCGGUCGUUUUUCACGAAUUAAUAAUCAAUGUUCAGGUUUUGUCGUAAUAGAAUUUAAAAGCAUUAA
Centruroides sculpturatus (bark scorpion) is the source of this 1973-nucleotide long non-coding RNA. RefSeq lists it as uncharacterized. Lineage: Eukaryota; Metazoa; Arthropoda; Arachnida; Scorpiones; Buthidae. The transcript has 3 exons. The record is from RefSeq and is a predicted model, not a curated record.